UUACCAAACCAAGUUAUUGUGUAUGCUAAUAAUUAUUUUGAUCAAGUACCAGACGCGUCCAGUGCCUUUAACAUUUACGCUCUUCCCGAAUCAAUAAGUUGUUUUUCAUUUCCAGAGGACAAUAUUAUUAAAUUCAAUUAACUAACAUAAACAUUCCUGUGAACGUUACUUUAGAAAUGAUAUCAAUAUAAUGUUUUAAAAUGCUCAGCCUUGAAGUGAAUUACAGACAUAAACAUUUACCAUUUUACAUUCUUGAUGUCAGGAAGUAAUAUUUCCAGGAGUUCCACUUCUCCUCCAUUUCAAUAAUAAUAAAUUUAUCCUUAACUUUUCCCCUUGAUUUUUUUAUAAACCCAAUUUUUAUAUUGCUUUUUCUACUUUUGUGUCCGAGCUUGCUUUGUGAUACUGCAAUCAUAGACCUAUGCCAAAUUAUUGAUAAAAUUUUCUGUUUACAUUUUCAUGUUUCAGUUGCAAUACCAUUGAAAUUCCGCUGAAAUACAACUAGAUAAAAAGGAAAAUGUCUAUUUCCCAAAACAUUUUCCUUUCUGUGACUCCCACACAAGAAAACAACCAUUUCUUAUGAACAUCAAACACCCCCCCCCCUACAACAAACUUAACAAUAUACUCCAGUGGCUUCUGCUGUGGCUGGGGGGGGGGUAUGUUUUUAUGUAACAUUGGAUUGGUGGGUUUCUUUUUUGAACACAAUUCUCAGGAUUAUAUUGGCACUUACACCACACAAUUAUCCAAGUUAUUCACCAGGUUUCUAAUUUUGAACAUUUAGCUGAGCAAACAAAGAGUGUCCAAGAAUCACCAAUUCAUCCCAGGCACCAGGCCCCAGAUACUUGAAGCUGUUGGUAUGUCUAUUCCGAGGUCAUUGAACCAUUUUGGCAGACUGGCCAGGAGCAUGCUGAGUUCCAGACAGACAGGCCCAUCAGACAUUUAUAGCUUUCCUUUUAUUGUGAUGCUAAGAUGAAACUGCAUAAAUAUUGGUAAAGUAGUGCCUCGUCUUGAACAUUAUCUUUACAUUCAGAUGUAAAAUAUCAAUUGAUCAUACAACCGCCGAUAGGAAAUCUUUUUCUGUUAUUUCCAAAGAUGAAGGGACCAGUGCGAGUUACAAAAUGCUUGACUUUUUAUUAUUCCCAAAUCAAAACAGGAACAAAUUAAUUGUUUUCAAAAGACAGCGAGCUAGUUUGUGGAUUUAAGAGUUUUUAUGGAAAUGUUUGGACCCUAUAAACUCAGCCUAAGCUGAGAGCCUUAUAAAUGCUUUAAAAAGGACUCAGUUAAAUCACUGAAAACACACACACUAAUUUAACAUUUUAAAUGCUGGGGGCAUUAGUGGAUUUGAGAAUAGGGUCUAAAACACAAAACAACAAUACCUUCAGAGAAAAUAAUUAAACAGUUGUGUGAUGCUUUAAAAAACAAGGCCUAGUUUAUUCUUCACAGACUUGUGAACUCUGGGAACUUAAAAAUGAGAAGUGUACUCCUCUAAAAUGUUAUUGCAUACAGGUGUAUAUAGUUUUCAUGCUGAGCGUUAGAAUCUGGGGUCGAUACUGCUAUUUGUUUUAUUUGAUUUUGUUUUAUUUGAUUUUAUUUAUCUAUUUAUUUAUCUGUUGAGUACUUGGUUGAGUACUUGCUGGUUUACCUUCACCUCUACUUAAUUUAUUCACUUAAUGAAAUAAAAAAAAUCUUCUAUUGAGUCCAAUUAAAAAAACAAAAACUCGUAAUGCGGUGAGAAAUCCAAGUGUAGCCCUAGAUUUUAAACCGAUAAUUAAGUUACUAUACAAUCUUUUAAAUGACCCCUACUUGUUCUUGCCUUGGAUUGGUGCAAUAUUUGUAUUACAAUCCUUUAAAUGACCCCUACUUGUUCUUGCUUUGGAUUGGUGCAAUAUUUGUAUAACAUCUACAUCCAUGCUUACCACCAUAAGUGAAAAAACAAACUGACAAAAACAGAAAAGACAUUUCAUAUUUCUUAGAUUAGCAAGGAAUCUAAAGUUUAGUUACAGAGCUACUAUUAUUCAAUAAAACAUUGUCUUGUAGCAGUAGCCAAACAAUAAUAAUAUUGUUGUUUAAUAAAUUGCUAUAAUUACUUUAUAUACACUAAUCGUACCUUGUUAUUUAGAGGUACCCUUUUAAUUAUAUUUGUGCUUUUGACUUCUGGAAUAUUUCUGGAUACAACGGUUUGAUAAGACUUAACUACGUGUGUUCCUAUCUCUUUAGAGACAAAUUUACGGCAUUACAAGUCACAUCACAUCUUCAAACAAGUACAACGGUUUGAAUUCAUACAGAAAUAAGUAGGUCAUUUUGUAUUGACCCAAUUCUCAAGAGGUCAUGACCCCAGAGAAAUCUUAGGUUGCAACUAUUUUUGAAAUCAGAUUCCAACGUGUUACUAUGGAGUGAGCAAUACUAUCUAACCCACAGGUGCAGUCAGAAACUCACUCAUAGCAAUACUAGCUGACCCACAGGUACAGUCAGAAACUCACUCAUAUCAAUACUAGCUGACCCACAGGUGCAGUCAGAAACUCACUCAUAGCAAUACUAGCUGACCCACAGGUGCAGUCAGAAACUCACUCAUAGCAAUACUAGCUGACCCACAGGUGCAGUCAGAAACUCACUCAUAGCAAUACUAGCUGACCCACAGGUGCAGUCAGAAACUCACUCAUAGCAAUACUAGCUGACCCACAGGUACAGUCAGAAACUCACUCAUAUCAAUACUAGCUGACCCACAGGUGCAGUCAGAAACUCACUCAUAGCAAUACUAGCUGACCCACAGGUGCAGUCAGAAACUCACUCAUAGCAAUACUAGCUGACCCACAGGUGCAGUCAGAAACUCACUCAUAGCAAUACUAUCUAACCCACAGGUGCAGUCAGAAACUCACUCAUAGCAAUACUAGCUGACCCACAGGUGCAGUCAGAAACUCACUCAUAGCAAUACUAGCUGACCCACAGGUGCAGUCAUCAGAAACUCACUCAUAUCAGAUUAUUACAAGUAAAGUGACUACCAAAACAGCAGACCAUGGGCAGACAGACUAGCUAUGUGUAUCAAUGCAAUAGGUCUAUCCUAAUUGGUGAGUUAUUGCAUCACAAUGUGUGUGUAUCUGCCGCACGCGCCUGGCUCCAAAGCUGGUGUUUGUUUGUGUGUAAUUUACCAAAAGAAAUCAAGUUUUAUUGUUCACAAACAUUUCUUAUGACAAAAAGUUUUAACUCUUAGUUUAAGAAGAACCAAACAUGGGAUGCGACAAAUAUUUUCACUUCCAUGGUGAUUAGACACCAUACCAAAUCCAAUAUGUGUUCUGUCAAAGUCAAGCCAUGUUUUCUUGACUAAAUUAUCAAAGAACAAGUUUAAUGCAAACCAAUGCCAAUGGGCUUCUGGUUGUUAUUAUUGGGCCAGUCUGUGUGGGCUUGGCGUACACUGGAAUUACAUCACAUUGAACAGGAUAGACGAUGUCACCAGUGACAUCACAUGUUUACAAAAGAGCAACAAAGCCUGGAUUUCCAGCAGGCACAUACAUAGCACAAGAGUUACAAAAAACUAAUACUUAAAGUAAUACAUCUUAGGCAGAUUGUAAGUGAAUCUGAUCAUGUUUUAUUGAUACUAAGACAAUGGGCACAUUGCAUUAUGAAAACUAGUACAGUUUCGAUUUUUCACAAUUCUCGAUUCGAUGUAUAGAUUAUGAUUCCUGUCCUAUCCUGAUGACCGAUGUAACAUGAAUGGACAAGACUAAUCACAAAUAUAUCAUCAACAAAAAUAUCAUUGUCAGACUGAACUUAAUUUAAGUAUUUAAGGCUUAUUUGCAUAAUAUCAAGUUUUAGACCCAAAAUCUGUGAUCCAUUUUAAGUUUGCUGUUUACUAUUGUGAAUGAAUCAGGGGGGGGGGGG
This is a long non-coding RNA of Asterias rubens (European starfish), 3873 nucleotides long. RefSeq lists it as uncharacterized. The record is from RefSeq and is a predicted model, not a curated record. The transcript is spliced from 2 exons. NCBI's taxonomy places the organism in Eukaryota, Metazoa, Echinodermata, Asteroidea, Forcipulatida, Asteriidae.